CCCGGUGAUGAUACAGAGUACGGACACCCUACCUUGCGGCUGCACAGCAUAAAGGAAUUUUUGUUUCAUUGUUUUCUUUCAUGCUUGAAAGCGGAAGUCUUCAGCAUCUCAGAGUGGUCACCAACCCUGCAAUUCUUUUCUCCAAAUCUAACUGGUUGAGUGUUAACUUAGGAGGACAGGAGCCCUUGAACCACACCUCAGGACUACCUGGCCCGAAAGGCUCAUAGCCGUUCCUGUCCAAAUUCCUGCUGGUUUGGUUGCAGUUCAAGUAGCUGACCAUACCAGAUGCCCCUCUGCCGACCAUUCCUGAUUGUCCCUGUCUUCGUCCAUCUGGUCAUGCAGCAGACUUGGAUUAUGUUUUAUAGACUCUGGACAAAGCCCACAUGCAUUUAUUAAUUAUAAAAAUGUGUACUCUUAAAAUUUUCCUCUCUAGGUCUCUAGAAGAGAACUAGCCACCCCUCAGAGCCUGGUUCCUCUCUAGGUUUCUUUUUAAAUUUCAUUCCUUUUAGGGAGUUUUUCCUAGCCACUUGUUGCUUGCUCUUUGGGGUGUCAGGCUGGGUGUUUAGUAUACGCACUUUGUUACAACUGCUGAAGUAAAAAUGGCUUUAUAAAAUCCAUUUGAUUGAUUGAUCACAAAAUGCUUGCAGUAGGCCAUCAGUUUUAUCUUGCAUCUGACUACAGAGGUGGUUGCAGAGUACAUUCCAUGACUGCAGACAGUACAGAGCAUGCUGCAAACCAUAAUACUCAUGUUGAGGACUUUUCACGUCAUCCUCUUCCUGAAUGCUCCGGGAAGUGUGUGGUCUCAGUUGGACAUCAUUCUCGAUCCUCAUUUUCACUCGCCUCAUGUUGUGACACAUAUUUGUGUUUGUUAAUUUCUAGUAAUAUCCCUUGUUUUUCAUAACUAAGUUGUGAUAGUUUCAUUUAUUAAUUUAUGUAUGUGUAUAACAGUUUAUUAUUCUGUUUAAAUGUAAACAGAAUAAUUUAGCCUAGUUUGUACAAUUCUUAAAAUUCUCUCCACAGGUUGCUUUGGGAAAGCAGUGCAUGGAAAGGCUAUGAUUUUCACCUUAUAAUGGUGUUAUUCAUGGCUAAUUGGGUGCGAGAAUUCAGUGCCCAGAUAAAGCCCCGCCUCCAUGCCAAUACGAAGAUGGGCAAUGACUUGAACGAAGAUGGGAAGAAAUUGUAAUCAUAAGAAGAAGCGAACGGAUCAGAUGCGAAAAUCCAUUUAAUGAUUUUGCAAUACAC
Molecule: long non-coding RNA, 1242 nt
Organism: Esox lucius (northern pike)
Lineage: Eukaryota; Metazoa; Chordata; Actinopteri; Esociformes; Esocidae
Exons: 3
Source: RefSeq, a predicted model, not a curated record